CGGUACAUCACCAUAGACUGUAAAAAUAACUAACUCAUAAAUUUGGACUAUACUGACCUAAAAACUAAAGAUUCAAAAAGAUGAUUCCACCAGCCGAAUCUCUCCUCAAAUACGACAAUCCAGUUUUGAUCAGGAAAAGCACUGACAGAAAAUCACCAAAGGGGCGCCCUUUAAAAGUGAGUCCACAGCAGGUGGGGGAACAGCCUACCCCUGUUCCACCACCUCCAAAAUCAAAACCCACCUCUACUGACACCGCCAAGCAGGAAGACGAGGAGAUCCUAAACGCCAU
Molecule: long non-coding RNA, 289 nt
Organism: Labrus mixtus (cuckoo wrasse)
Lineage: Eukaryota; Metazoa; Chordata; Actinopteri; Labriformes; Labridae
Exons: 3
Source: RefSeq, a predicted model, not a curated record